This 428-nucleotide long non-coding RNA is filed under the name Mytilus galloprovincialis (Mediterranean mussel). The record is from RNAcentral. Lineage: Eukaryota; Metazoa; Mollusca; Bivalvia; Mytilida; Mytilidae.
UGCCGGUCUAAUACAAAACAGGGUUAAUAUUCAUUUCACAUUAAUAUGUUCUCGUACGAAUAUGCACCUGUCCCAAGUCAGGAGCCUGUAAUUCAGUGGUCGUCUGUUGAUGUGUUACAUACCGGUAAUUUCGUUCAUUUUUUGUACAUAAAUUAUGCCGUUAGUUUUCUCGUUUGAAUUGUUUAACAUUUGUCAUUUCGGGGCCUUUUAUAGCUGAUUAUGCGGUAUGGGCUUUGCUCAUUGUUGAAGGCCGUACGGUGACCUAUAGUUGUUAAUUUCUGUGUCAUUUGGUGUCUUGUCGAGAGUUGUCUCAUAGGCAAUCAUACCACAUAGUCUUUUAUUUAUCAAUUUUCCGCUGGACGUCAAGCAUACAUUCAUAAUCAUGUAAGUGUGCAAUAAAUGCAUGAAUAAAAAUAAAAAGAUGCAAG